ACGAAUUCACUGGAAGCUCUCAAACGAGGCUGGCAGAAGCUGAAAUUGAAGUGGUCUCUGACCUAAUUUUCUUCUGCAUGAAACAUCUGCAUCAAGGCUCUCUUUGAUGUAUUCCACUUGGCUCUGUCUACGGGAUUGUAUCACAUGGACUCGGUGUUGCCUCCUUAUUGAAAGACAUUUCCAGCCUUUGCAAGAUGGCCCGUUUGACACAAAUUAGAACAACCUUGAUAGCUGUCAACUGGAGACUAUCUGAGAACAAAAGGACAUUACUGCAAACCAGCACUGGAGCAACUCUGAAAGAAGAUAAAAGUACAUGAAGAAAUCGUUUGCAGGCACUGGACAAAAAAGAGUGCAAAGCUAUAAUCUUGAGAGCAGGAAACACACAGACACCUGGCAGGAGACAGAAACUCACAUCAUUCCUCCUGACCAUUACUCCUCCAGAGAGAACCUUGUUCCCUGGCAGAAAGCUUCAGUGCUAAAACUAGCAAAUAUCAACAGGUUUCAAAGACUAUGGAUCUUAAGUCAUGAGACUGGAGAAGACACCAAAGCCAUGACCAUUUGAUUCUGGAAGAACAUGCAAGUGUUCUAUGACAUCGAUAAACCAUUGGCCUCAUUCUGGUGUUUGGCCAUUUAUCACGUUUGCAGCAUCACACAAAAUGAUGCUCUCUCCUGCCAAGUCCUAUUUUUUGGGAGGAGGAAAUGGAUUAGGUCCUGGAAGUUGUCAUAAAUGCAUCAAGUGACUUUCUCAGCAUCAUCUGAAACAAUGAGAACAUUGAGGCAAGGGAACAGGUGGCCAAAAAUACCCUCAUAGCCUUGAGAAAGUCCAUCUUGAUGUUAUCCAGUGAAACUUAAUGGCAACACAGGAGCCAGGGAGCCUGCUUUAUUUUGGAAAUGAAAA
This is a long non-coding RNA of Gorilla gorilla gorilla (western lowland gorilla), 898 nucleotides long. RefSeq lists it as uncharacterized. The record is from RefSeq and is a predicted model, not a curated record. The transcript has 6 exons. Lineage: Eukaryota; Metazoa; Chordata; Mammalia; Primates; Hominidae.